GCACUCGUAGCUCAGCUGGAUAGAGCGCCUGACUACGAAUCAGGAGGUCAGGGGUUCGAAUCCCUUCGAGUGUACCA
This 77-nucleotide transfer RNA is filed under the name Akkermansiaceae bacterium. RNAcentral describes it as "tRNA-Arg". It matches the Rfam family "tRNA". From Rfam's summary of the family: Transfer RNA (tRNA) molecules are approximately 80 nucleotides in length. Lineage: Bacteria; Pseudomonadati; Verrucomicrobiota; Verrucomicrobiia; Verrucomicrobiales; Akkermansiaceae. The record is from RNAcentral.